ACUCCUACGGGAGGCAGCAGUGGGGAAUAUUGGACAAUGGGGGAACCGUAGCAUCAGCCAUGCCGCGUGUGUGAAGAAGGCCUUCGGGUUGUAAAGCACUUUCAGUGGGGAGGAAAGGUUGAUGGUUAAUACCUAUCAGCUGUGACGUUACCCACAGAAGAAGCACCGGCUAACUCCGUGCCAGCAGCCGCGGUAAUACGGAGGGUGCAAGCGUUAAUCGGAAUUACUGGGCGUAAAGCGUGCGCAGGCGGUCUGUUAAGCGAGAUGUGAAAGCCCGGC
RNAcentral lists this ribosomal RNA (279 nucleotides) under uncultured bacterium. RNAcentral describes it as "partial 16S ribosomal RNA". It matches the Rfam family "Bacterial small subunit ribosomal RNA", at positions 335 to 606 of the family's 1533-position model. The record is from RNAcentral.